GAUGAACGCUGGCGGCGUGCCUAAUACAUGCAAGUCGAGCGAACAGACGAGGAACUUGCUCCUUCUACGUUAGCGGCGGACGGGUGAGUAACACGUAGGUAACCUACCUAUAAGACUGGGAUAACUACGGGAAACCGGAGCUAAGACCAGAAAAUAUUUCUAACCGCAUGAUUCGAUAGUGAAAGAUUGCUGUGCUAUCACUUAUAGAUGGACCUGCGUCGGAUUAGCUAGUUGGUAAGGUAACGGCUUACCAAGGCAACGAUACGUAGCCGACCUGAGAGGGUGAUCGGCCACACUAGAACUGAGACGCGGUCCAGACUACUACGGGAGGCAGCAGUAGGGAAUCUACCGCAAAGGGCGAGAGCCUGACGGGGACACGCCGAGUGAGUGAUGAAGGGCUUCGGAUCGUAGUACUCUGUUAUUAGGGAAGAACAAACGUGUAAGUAACUGUGCACGUCUUGACGGUACCUAAUCAGAAAGCCACGGCUAACUACGUG
This 497-nucleotide ribosomal RNA is filed under the name uncultured bacterium. RNAcentral describes it as "partial 16S ribosomal RNA". It matches the Rfam family "Bacterial small subunit ribosomal RNA", at positions 28 to 507 of the family's 1533-position model. The record is from RNAcentral.